UACGUAGGGUGCAAGCGUUAAUCGGAAUUACUGGGCGUAAAGGGCUCGUAGGCGGUCAACUAAGUCAUACGUGAAAUCCCUCGGCUUAACCGGGGAACUGCGUCUGAUACUGGAUGGCUUGAGUUCGGGAGAGGGAUGCGGAAUUCCAGGUGUAGCGGUGAAAUGCGUAGAUAUCUGGAGGAACACCGGUGGCGAAGGCGGCAUCCUGGACCGAUACUGACGCUGAGGAGCGAAAGCCAGGGGAGCAAACGGG
This 253-nucleotide ribosomal RNA is filed under the name uncultured bacterium. Its description in RNAcentral is "partial 16S ribosomal RNA". It matches the Rfam family "Bacterial small subunit ribosomal RNA", at positions 524 to 776 of the family's 1533-position model. The record is from RNAcentral.